Molecule: unclassified non-coding RNA, 248 nt
Filed under: Hevea brasiliensis (rubber tree)
Lineage: Eukaryota; Viridiplantae; Streptophyta; Magnoliopsida; Malpighiales; Euphorbiaceae
Source: RNAcentral
GCACCAAUUAAAAACUCUACCUAAGCUACUUGUAUAUAGGGUAAACAGAGGUCGAUCCCACAGAGAAUUAGUAAAUGCAAACAAGAAAACAGAUUUUAGAGACACAAAUAAACAAAAGGAACUUAAAACAGAUAAAAUAAACACCUAAUUUAUCAAACUGAAUUUGCAAAGCAAAAUAAAGGAGGGUUUUGAUUUGUAUUUGCUAAACUACUGAAGCUAAACUAAUAAUACUAGAAUAUAAACUAAUG